RNAcentral lists this ribosomal RNA (1426 nucleotides) under Bacillus subtilis. RNAcentral's name for it is "16S ribosomal RNA". It matches the Rfam family "Bacterial small subunit ribosomal RNA". Lineage: Bacteria; Bacillati; Bacillota; Bacilli; Caryophanales; Bacillaceae. The record is from RNAcentral.
ACGCUGGCGGCGUGCCUAAUACCUGCAAAAACCCAGCGGCCAGAUGGGAGCUUGCUCCCUGAUGUUAGCGGCGGACGGGUGAGUAACACGUGGGUAACCUGCCUGUAAGACUGGGAUAACUCCGGGAAACCGGGGCUAAUACCGGAUGGUUGUUUGAACCGCAUGGUUCAGACAUAAAAGGUGGCUUCGGCUACCACUUACAGAUGGACCCGCGGCGCAUUAGCUAGUUGGUGAGGUAACGGCUCACCAAGGCGACGAUGCGUAGCCGACCUGAGAGGGUGAUCGGCCACACUGGGACUGAGACACGGCCCAGACUCCUACGGGAGGCAGCAGUAGGGAAUCUUCCGCAAUGGACGAAAGUCUGACGGAGCAACGCCGCGUGAGUGAUGAAGGUUUUCGGAUCGUAAAGCUCUGUUGUUAGGGAAGAACAAGUGCCGUUCAAAUAGGGCGGCACCUUGACGGUACCUAACCAGAAAGCCACGGCUAACUACGUGCCAGCAGCCGCGGUAAUACGUAGGUGGCAAGCGUUGUCCGGAAUUAUUGGGCGUAAAGGGCUCGCAGGCGGUUUCUUAAGUCUGAUGUGAAAGCCCCCGGCUCAACCGGGGAGGGUCAUUGGAAACUGGGGAACUUGAGUGCAGAAGAGGAGAGUGGAAUUCCACGUGUAGCGGUGAAAUGCGUAGAGAUGUGGAGGAACACCAGUGGCGAAGGCGACUCUCUGGUCUGUAACUGACGCUGAGGAGCGAAAGCGUGGGGAGCGAACAGGAUUAGAUACCCUGGUAGUCCACGCCGUAAACGAUGAGUGCUAAGUGUUAGGGGGUUUCCGCCCCUUAGUGCUGCAGCUAACGCAUUAAGCACUCCGCCUGGGGAGUACGGUCGCAAGACUGAAACUCAAAGGAAUUGACGGGGGCCCGCACAAGCGGUGGAGCAUGUGGUUUAAUUYGAAGCAACGCGAAGAACCUUACCAGGUCUUGACAUCCUCUGACAAUCCUAGAGAUAGGACGUCCCCUUCGGGGGCAGAGUGACAGGUGGUGCAUGGUUGUCGUCAGCUCGUGUCGUGAGAUGUUGGGUUAAGUCCCGCAACGAGCGCAACCCUUGAUCUUAGUUGCCAGCAUUCAGUUGGGCACUCUAAGGUGACUGCCGGUGACAAACCGGAGGAAGGUGGGGAUGACGUCAAAUCAUCAUGCCCCUUAUGACCUGGGCUACACACGUGCUACAAUGGACAGAACAAAGGGCAGCGAAACCGCGAGGUUAAGCCAAUCCCACAAAUCUGUUCUCAGUUCGGAUCGCAGUCUGCAACUCGACUGCGUGAAGCUGGAAUCGCUAGUAAUCGCGGAUCAGCAUGCCGCGGUGAAUACGUUCCCGGGCCUUGUACACACCGCCCGUCACACCACGAGAGUUUGUAACACCCGAAGUCGGUGAGGUAACC